This 457-nucleotide ribosomal RNA is filed under the name uncultured bacterium. RNAcentral's name for it is "bacterial SSU rRNA". It matches the Rfam family "Bacterial small subunit ribosomal RNA", at positions 58 to 518 of the family's 1533-position model. The record is from RNAcentral.
CAAGUCGAACGGAGUUUUAACGGAAGUUUCGGAUGGAAGUUAGAACUAGUGGCGGACGGGUGAGUAACGCGUGGGUAACCUGCCUCAGUACAGGGGGAUAACAGUUAGAAAUGACUGCUAACACCGCAUAAUAUAGCGAAACCGCAUGAUUUUGCUAUCAAAUAUUUAUAGGUAUGAGAUGGGCCCGCGUCUGAUUAGCUAGUUGGUGGGGUAAAAGCCUACCAAGGCGACGAUCAGUAGCCGGCUUGAGAGAGUGACCGGCCACAUUGGGACUGAGACACGGCCCAAACUCCUACGGGAGGCAGCAGUGGGGAAUAGUUGGACAAUGGGGGGAAACCCUGAUCCAGCGACGCCCGCGUGAGUGAAGAAGUAUUUCGGUAUGUAAAGCUCUAUCAGCAGGGAAGAUAAUGACAGUACCUGACUAAGAAGCCCCGGCUAACUACGUGCCAGCAGCUGC